RNAcentral lists this long non-coding RNA (216 nucleotides) under Manihot esculenta (cassava). RNAcentral describes it as "long non-coding RNA (MESC_LNC005383)". Lineage: Eukaryota; Viridiplantae; Streptophyta; Magnoliopsida; Malpighiales; Euphorbiaceae. The record is from RNAcentral.
AAACUGUAAUUUAGUCCCUUUGAUUUAGUGAAAUGCAACCUUUUGUCCCUCUGUUUUAAAAAAUCUUCAAUUUAGUCACUGUAAUUUUUAAAAACUAUGACAUUAGUCCCUCCCGUUAGAUUUUCAGUUAAAUCACCGUUAAUUUUAGUUAAAAAGACUAAAAUACCAAUUCUCUCUCCUUCCUCUUCCUCUUCUUCUUCUUUUUCUUCUUCUUCU